This 253-nucleotide unclassified non-coding RNA is filed under the name uncultured Pseudobdellovibrionaceae bacterium. RNAcentral describes it as "uncultured Bdellovibrionaceae bacterium contains 16S-23S intergenic spacer region". It matches the Rfam family "Bacterial small subunit ribosomal RNA", at positions 524 to 776 of the family's 1533-position model. Lineage: Bacteria; Pseudomonadati; Bdellovibrionota; Bdellovibrionia; Bdellovibrionales; Pseudobdellovibrionaceae. The record is from RNAcentral.
UACGAGGGGUCCUAGCGUUGUUCGGAAUCAUUGGGCGUAAAGCGGGUGUAGGUGGCUGCGCAAGUCAGGUGUGAAAGCCCUGGGCUUAACCUAGGAAGUGCAUCUGAUACUGCGUGGCUUGAGUACGGGAGAGGGCAGUGGAAUUCCUGGUGUAGUGGUGAAAUACGUAGAUAUCAGGAGGAACAUCGGUGGCGAAGGCGGCUGCCUGGCCCAGUACUGACACUCAGACCCGAAAGCGUGGGGAGCAAACAGG